GGGGAUUUAGCUCAGUGGUUCCAGCACUUGCCUCAGAAGCACAAGGGCCGGAGUUUGAUUCCUUGUAUCCCCA
RNAcentral lists this transfer RNA (73 nucleotides) under Fukomys damarensis (Damara mole-rat). It matches the Rfam family "tRNA". From Rfam's summary of the family: Transfer RNA (tRNA) molecules are approximately 80 nucleotides in length. Their secondary structure includes four short double-helical elements and three loops (D, anti-codon, and T loops). Further hydrogen bonds mediate the characteristic L-shaped molecular structure. tRNAs have two regions of fundamental functional importance: the anti-codon, which is responsible for specific mRNA codon recognition, and the 3' end, to which the tRNAs corresponding amino acid is attached (by aminoacyl-tRNA synthetases). tRNAs cope with the degeneracy of the genetic code in two manners: having more than one tRNA (with a specific anti-codon) for a particular amino acid; and 'wobble' base-pairing, i.e. permitting non-standard base-pairing at the 3rd anti-codon position. Lineage: Eukaryota; Metazoa; Chordata; Mammalia; Rodentia; Bathyergidae. The record is from Rfam by way of RNAcentral.